This 468-nucleotide ribosomal RNA is filed under the name uncultured bacterium. RNAcentral describes it as "partial 16S ribosomal RNA". It matches the Rfam family "Bacterial small subunit ribosomal RNA", at positions 28 to 507 of the family's 1533-position model. The record is from RNAcentral.
GACGAACGCUGGCGGCGUGCUUAACACAUGCAAGUCGAACGGAAAGGCCCUGCUUUUGUGGGGUGCUCGAGUGGCGAACGGGUGAGUAACACGUGAGUAACCUGCCCUUGACUUUGGGAUAACUUCAGGAAACUGGGGCUAAUACCGGAUAGGAGCUCCUGCUGCAUGGUGGGGUUUGGAAAGUUUCGGCGGUUGGGGAUGGACUCGCGGCUUAUCAGCUUGUUGGUGGGGUAGUGGCUUACCAAGGCUUUGACGGGUAGCCGGCCUGAGAGGGUGACCGGCCACAUUGGGACUGAGAUACGGCCCAGACUCCUACGGGAGGCAGCAGUGGGGAAUAUUGCACAAUGGGCGGAAGCCUGAUGCAGCAACGCCGCGUGCGGGAUGACGGCCUUCGGGUUGUAAACCGCUUUAGCCUGUGACGAAGCGUGAGUGACGGUAAUGGGUAAAGAAGCACCGGCUAACUACGUG